UUUCUGGCACCAAAGGUUAAUCGUGACCAUGAUUUACAGUCUGUGAAAAGUAUAGAUAGAUAAGUGUUCAGGAAGAUAAGAUUAGUAGCCUUGAAAUUCACAAGGAGACAGUGAUUUUAAAAUCCUGCGUCACUGUGCACAUUUUGAAGAUUAUGACACACAUUCCACAGAAGUGAAAACAUGUAUUUUAAAAAAGAAAAUAGUUACAAGAUUAAAUCUUAUUAAUAAAUUAUUUUUUAAAAUUCAAAAGUAUGGAAGAAAUGAAACAUAGCACCUGCAAAGGCAGCUUCGGGGUUUUAAAUGGGGCGUGUAUGGGAUUCAGCUACUGCUGAGUACUAGUUAUAGAUCUUAAUUCUUAUUCGCUUACCCGCUGGCAGGAACACUCAUGCAGCAUGCGGGAAACCUGGCCUGUAAACUGUCCUCAGCCGCAGGGAUUUACAUUCAUCUUUUUCACCUCUGAGGAAAAGGAGUGCUAUGAUUAGCACACUCUGCGCCAGCCAGGCCCAUGGAUGAUGCUGGGCACUGUGCUGCCAAGCGCACAAACGCUGGGACCAAAGAGUAAGCAAGACUUUUGUAGCAUAAUGCUACUGCCCGUAGCUGGAGGGGGACAAGAUGACAUGUGUGUAGCUGUGAACCAUCAGAUGUCAGGCAUGCCUAUUUUACCCAUUAGGUGCGGUUACACAUGUGAUUUAUUUCCUUCCUUGCUCUCCAGUUCUGAAAAUAUGUAAAAUCCCACACUCCGAAAUUCAUUAAAAUACCAUAUUCUUUACUGCUAUUUAUAGGCUUUAACAAAAUCCAGACUGCUUUUUCAGGAAAGGAGAAACUUGAGAGCAAACACUCUGGGAAUCCAAGAGAGUUCCAGCAAUGAAAAUAAACGCUUCAAGCAUCUUAAUGGCACCUUGAAAGUGGAGGGGAAAAGAAAGUCUUUAGCUGGAAUGAUACCCCCCCAAACAUUUAAUCCUGAGGACCCUUUCUGAGGAUUUCUAAUGGAGGAAACUGAGAAGGAAUCACAGCUGGAGGAAACCAGACUACUGCAUGAGGGAGGGAAAUGGAUGACAGAUGAAGAAAGAGCAAUUUUCAUGACUUGUCAAUAUCAGGUCACCCAUCCAUGUCCUUAGGAAGACUUAAUGAAUGAAAGGGGAACCAGCCUGGACUCACGCUUCUGUUUCAAUGGUCGGAUGCUUUAAAUCACCAAAAAGCUGAAAAGAUGGAAGUUAGUGGCAGGGGGAAAAAUCCCAAACCAAAUGCAACAACCUCAUUUAGUUUAAUUCAGCGAACUAGAAAGGAGAACAAAGAAGAAAAUACUGCCUUCCUGAAUCUGCGGUGUUUUUUCCUUCAACUCACAGAAAGUUUGAAUUACCUUCAUCAAAGAUAUCCUUUUUGAAAUAUGCAUCAUGGGUCUUCUAGUAGUAAUGGAUUGGGAACAGGUGACCUCCCUUUGGCAAAGUGUCACUUCCUAAAGAAGGUCAACAUUUCUAUUCAAACUCUUACAUUAUUGGAUAUCCAUUCUGUGCGGCCGUGACUAUGGGAAAAAGGAAGAGAGCUGCGUUCAGAAGAUUAGAGGUCCAAACUAAAAGCUGGUGUCAAAGAGGAUGAGAUGGAAGAUGAGGAAGAAGAAAACAUAGAAAUGCCCCUACAGGAAAUAUCGAUGAAGUGUAUCUAGUGUGUUUUUAUUCAGAAUACUUUCCUCUUAUGCAAAAUUUCAAUAGAAUUUAGUAGAAAAAUUUAUCUAUCUGCAAUCUGGAGUUUAUAGUAAUGCAGGUGAAAGAAAAGAGCCAGCGCUGGAAGGAAGAGCUCUCUUGACACUGAACAGAACAGACGUGGCUGUCCGAGGAGUAGCCAUCCUGUCUGCAUGCCUGUCCAAAAUGGGAAUUGUGCACGAGUGGGAGAGGACUGAAUUCUUGGCAGCAUGUCAUGGAUGGGAUCAACAUGGCGAGACGACAUCAUCCUGUUUCGCUAAACCUGCUUUUGAAGGAUCUUGGAGACUGAAAUGGAGAAGUGGUGGAAGCAGGAGCCUGACUGGAAAAAUCUGUCUGAGGAAAUGAGCUGUAAGGGAGAGAAGACAGUUUAACGUGCCGUCACAGCAAGAGCAUUCCUGCGGCGGCCAGGACAUGACCGUUGCUGCAUCGCGGGAGCAGCGGGGAGGAAAUGUGGAGAGGACAGGGGGGCUGAUGAGGGCCAAGCUGUCAUCGUUCAGGCUUUAGCAGACACAUAUGCUGUUGGAGCGAUCUUUGUCACGCUGCGCUAGUCCAGGUGGAAAAUGUAGCCUGCUAGGCUUGAUUCUCCUCCCACUUAUCCACCAUUUAUUUAUACUAGUCUAAUUCUACUGAAUGAUGAAACAAGACCAAAACCACUUCUGCCAGUUUCAUGGACCUUUUUGCUCCCUCUGAACCAAUGUGAAC
Long non-coding RNA from Dromaius novaehollandiae (emu), 2402 nucleotides. RefSeq lists it as uncharacterized. The transcript is spliced from 6 exons. NCBI's taxonomy places the organism in Eukaryota, Metazoa, Chordata, Aves, Casuariiformes, Dromaiidae. The record is from RefSeq and is a predicted model, not a curated record.